AGGUUAGCGGCGGACGGGUGAGUAACACGUGGGCAACCUGCCUGUAAGACUGGGAUAACUCCGGGAAACCGGAGCUAAUACCGGAUAGUAUCUUGAACCGCAUGGUUCAAGYUGGAAAGACGGUUUCGGCUGUCACUUACAGAUGGGCCCGCGGCGCAUUAGCUAGUUGGUGAGGUAAUGGCUCACCAAGGCAACGAUGCGUAGCCGACCUGAGAGGGUGAUCGGCCACACUGGGACUGAGACACGGCCCAGACUCCUACGGGAGGCAGCAGUAGGGAAUCUUCCGCAAUGGACGAAAGUCUGACGGAGCAACGCCGCGUGAGUGAUGAAGGUUUUCGGAUCGUAAAACUCUGUUGUUAGGGAAGAACAAGUGCGAGAGUAACUGCUCGCACCUUGACGGUACCUAACCAGAAAGCCACGGCUAACUACGUGCCAGCAGCCGCGGUAAUACGUAGGUGGCAAGCGUUGUCCGGAAUUAUUGGGCGUAAAGCGCGCGCAGGCGGUUUCUUAAGUCUGAUGUGAAAGCCCCCGGCUCAACCGGGGAGGGUCAUUGGAAACUGGGAAACUUGAGUGCAGAAGAGGAGAGUGGAAUUCCACGUGUAGCGGUGAAAUGCGUAGAGAUGUGGAGGAACACCAGUGGCGAAGGCGACUCUCUGGUCUGUAA
This 664-nucleotide ribosomal RNA is filed under the name Bacillus sp. ARK-71. Its description in RNAcentral is "bacterial SSU rRNA". It matches the Rfam family "Bacterial small subunit ribosomal RNA", at positions 89 to 739 of the family's 1533-position model. The record is from RNAcentral. Lineage: Bacteria; Bacillati; Bacillota; Bacilli; Caryophanales; Bacillaceae.